This 5647-nucleotide small RNA is filed under the name Olea europaea subsp. europaea. Lineage: Eukaryota; Viridiplantae; Streptophyta; Magnoliopsida; Lamiales; Oleaceae. The record is from RNAcentral.
UAGCUGAUUUGUUAUUGAUAUUUGUAUAAUAUUUUGCCCUCAAGACUUUAUAUUACUACUUGCACAUGCUCAAGAAAUUUGUUAACACGACCUUCUUGAUCGUCCUAGUAGACCCAUCUAAUAUGACCGAUGAUUCCAAAUAACCCUAGUAGGCAUAAAACAUGACAUGAUGGUGGAUGUUGGUAGCUAGAUAUCAGAACCAUCAAGAUUGAAUUUUGGUUACAUAGAAUGAUAUUACAUUGAAUUCCUCAGUAUCUAGCAUCCAUCAUUAUCGGGUCAUAAUUUUGUUCCACUAGAUUAACUUGGAUGGAUAGUAUCCUAUGUAUCAUCCCAUGGAGAGGUUUCCUGAUAUACAUUCAUAUAUCCACUUGGAAGUUUUGAGACUAGUGACUCUGAUUGGAAGGGGCAGUGACACGACCCGUCCCGAAUUACUCUAGUGGACUCGAAAUGUGACGUGCACCAAUGAUAGAUGCUGACUAGAUAUCAAAUCUAUCACCAAUGCUGACUAUGAGUUAUUUCAAAAAAAUGCAACAAAAUCAAAUGCUUAUGUAAAAUAUAAUGCGAUGAGCCCAAAAUAUUUACUUCGUGUUUCAUCAAUAUGAAUUAUAACACUCAACAUGUCGUGUGGCUCUCAUUCCAAAAUCAUUAGGCUCUUUCAGCUAAAAAAAAUCAAUUUCCACUUGUAGGAAAAUUACGGAAAAAUAUAUGAGUUGAUAGUUCAGUGAGUAGAGAAGAUCGAAAAUAAUUAUUCUUUUUCAUUUUUUUCAUUUUAUCGAAAAUCGAGUUCAUAUCAUUGAUAACUCGCAAGAUAACAUCAUAUAAUUAUAGCAAAAAAAUGAAAUAUACCCUCCGAAAAAUGUACCCUCCGACUGAAAUAUAUAAUCUGCUCCUCGGGCUAAGAACUUUCGCCACAGGCCUUUGGCCCCUCUGUGAAUGAAAGUCGAUCUCAAAGACCUCUCAGUAAACUAUAUGUACACGGUCGAGAUCCCUUCAUUCCCGGUCCAAGACCCCUCAAUGUAGUAUAGAACACGACUAAGGCCCAUCAGUGAACUAGAAGAAAUAUAUAAUCACAGGCACUUUUCUAGUCGAUCUCAAAAUCAUAUCUUAUAUUCCAAUUCACUACGUAACGUAUACAAUCUUUAAAAUUCCACAUGUAUCAUAAUAAAAGAUAUUUUCAUAAUAACCAUGUAAUUGGAAUACAUAAUUGCAUAUAAUUGCACAUAAUUUAACAAUAAACUUAAUUUAUAAAUACUUUAAAAAUAUUUAUAUUUUUCCACUCACAGUACAAUGUUCGCAAAAUCAACCCGAUUGACAAGCUAUUCUGAUGUCAGUAUCGUAGCCUGAAAUACGAUAUAAUUUUUAAAUAAACAAUUAAUUAUUUUAAAUAAUUUCAAUAAUUAAAUAGGCAAUACCCAAACUUAAUUAUUUCACGUUUAGGUGAUUUCUAAAGUCUCUUUAAUCACUAAAACUAGUUUUCUUUUAUUUUACUCAAUUUCAUAGUUUAUUAUGCUUAACCCCUUCAAUAAAAUUGAAUUUAAUCUCACAAUCUAACAACUAUAUAAUUAAACAUAACUUGACAAUAAGUAACUUUUUACUUACCUUUCAAAAUUGAGGAAUUCAAGUCUAAUAAUAUAGACCACUUAUUUUCUAACAACAUAGGUGAACUUUCCUAUUUUUUUCUUCCUCUUCUCCUUUUUUUUUUUUUUUUUUUUUGCUUUUUCCUUUCUUUUCCCUCUCUUUUUCUCUCUCUCGUUUCUUCUCUGUUUGUAUAAUUGUUGUGUGUAAAUGGAUUGUAUAUAAAUGGAUUGAUACGAAAAUGAAAUGGAUUUGGAUUAUUAUAAUCAACUACCACCAGACUUUGUCCACUUUUGUUUUGGUUUCAUUUUUUUUUUUUUUAAGCUUGAUAUAUUUGACUUCAAUUUUAUAUUUUGACUUUUCUUUCUUUUCUUUUCUUUUUAAAUAAUUGAGGCAUUACAAUACUCAACCUCUUAAAAGAAUUUCGUCCUCGAAAUUAUAUUAGUUAAGAUUCGCACAUGUAAUAAAUAUAUAAAGAACACAUUUGAUCCUCACUUGCCAUAAUAAUGAUCACUCCAAUAAACUUUUAUUUAAUUUAAUCUUUCCUAUCAUACCUUUAAUAACUUCAUAAGAGCUAAUAUAUGAUAGUCUCGUCUUCUCUUUUCUCCCUUUUUUUUUUUCCAAACCUUAUGAAAAGUCAAUUAUUAUUAUUAUUAUUUUUUAAUUUGAAGUUCAAGAUACUACUUUUCAUGUUUUCCAAAUCUUCACCUUACGUCAUAAUUUAAACUAUUCUCUAAUCACAUUCUUUUUCUAUAACAAUGGUUACAUAUUAAGAUCGAACAACAUUCUUUCGCCCAUUUCGUCAUACAUCCUUGAAAUAUUUUAAUAUUAUAUAUAACCUCAAUUAUAGUUACUUGUGUCUAGCUCUUAUAUAUCAAUUCAAUGAAAAAUAGAUAAUUAUCCAAGUACCUUUAAUUAACCAACCAUAAUUGAUAACCUUUCUUUUGAACUUGUCUUCACAGCGUCUGACAUUGUAUCAAAAGAAGAUGCACAAUGUGAUUUAAUUAUAUAACUUCUUACAGUUAACCAAGAUAAAUACUCCAAUUACACCAUGUAGUUGAAAAUAUUGUCUAAAUAUAAUUUUAUAAGUCUAUCCUAUGAACUAACUAUAUUUUUUAAAAGAAUCUUGUAAGCUUUAUCAAUCAAUGAUUUACAUACUAUUUUGUCUCCAUUCCAUGUAUUUGGAAUCCCCAAACAAAAAAAAAAUAUAUAUUUGAGGGUAACUACCUCCAUUCUAAAUUGACAAUAUUUUCAAAGAUUCAAUUGUUCAUGAUUUUUUAAAAUUCUAAUUAUCCCCAGCAAAACAAUUGAGAUAGCUCAAUAUGGUGUUCUUUUUCCUUUAAUUCUAUAUCACCCAAUGAUAAUAUAUACCCAAUUUCCAUUUCCACCACUUCGAAUAAAAUAUACCUUAAACUCUGAUGAUUGAUAAUUAUUGAUAUUUCUCGCAAUGUGAUAAUAAAAUCCCAAUAUAAACAACUCCAAAUCAUGUUUUAAUCAUGCCUCUUCAACAAUCUAUCAUAUAAUUUAUAAUUCAUCAUUUUACUUCAGAAUACUUUUUAAACUUUAACAUAAUCCACUAUCAUAAAUCAAAUCCUCAUCAAGUUUUGAUACGAGAGUAAUUAUUUCCUCAGAAUUUAAUCUGAUAGCAACACUUUUUACAUCUUUAAAUCCACAAAAUUUUGAUGCUCUUUCUUUCUAUGAAAAGACAAUUAUAACAAUUAAUCCAUGAUAAUUCUAUUCUCUUAUUUCAUAAAGAGGUCAUCAGCCAAUUACCAAUGCGUAAGCUUUCUUGUAUGUCUAACAAAGACCUUCAAUUAAGAUUAUACCCUAAAGAUACCAUUCCACAAUUGAAUAAAAUUUAAAUUUGAUGAUUGUCUUAGACAUUAAACUAUCCACAUAUCAUCCAUAUAUUCUAUAACGUAUAGAUCUCGACAAGAAUGGAAUACUUUAUCCGCGAAAUCCAAAAAUACAAUUGAAAAUCACCCAAAAUUUACAUCAUGAAAAAUUUCAAUAAAUUCAUCUUAACUUCAAAAUUUAACUCAACGCUUCCAAAUUGUAUGGAAUAUUACACAAUAAUCCAACAAGUGGCUUUAACAAAACUAAUUAACUUAUAACCCAAAUCUAUCAUCACAUUAUUUUGCCAUAGGACAACCGCUAUAUUCAUUUACAUGUAAUUCAACAUAUCAUUUUAUGAUCUUGUAACCUUAGCAUUUAUCGUCAUAUCGUAUGACUCAAAACAUUUAAUUAUAUUAAUUUUUCCUUAAUACCACAAGAUAAUAACUUUCAUAUUUAUCACAUGAACAUUUCACACAUCAAUAUACCGCAUGUUAAUUUCCCAAUCUCAACAAAUUUCGAUUCUACCAUUCUAAAAAAAAAAAAAAAAAUCCCUCACAUAAACAUACCUAAAUGCACAUAUCCAUUUAAUUCUAUUUUUAAAGCAACAAAUCACCUCAUAAUAGGUAAUCAUUAUGAAGUUCAUCUCUAUUAUUCUUACAUUCCUUAUAGUCAAACAACUCAUAAAUAAUCGAAAUAAUUUGAAUUAUCGUUAAUUUCCUCGAUGCCUAAAAUACACAAUAACACAUUGUUAUCUAUUAAUCAACAAAUCAUCAUUUGUCUUUCACACUUUCUUAUCAUAUAGCAUAAAUAUACACCAUCAUAGUUUCUAUUAUCAUCCCAUAUAAGUGGCCACAAAUCACCACAAAAAUUUUGAUAACGCCACUAAUCAUUUAGUUUCCCAAAAUAAUUAAAAUUUCUCACCUGAUUAUCACCAUUUACACAUAUAAUAUUGUUUUCACUGUUACUAUAGUACAAGCUAGAACUAGGGAUUUCCCAAGUGUAUAUUAAAAACCACGAAAUUCUACACAAAGAUUGGUACUUAAAUGGUUGUACCCUAUCACUUCGAAUGUCUAUAAGUAAAUAACCAGCAAUACCAUCAAAACUUUCACCUUCAAAUUAACAAUAUGUCCAACUCUUAAAAAGCUACAUACACCAUCAUUCCAACCCAACAACUAAUAACACUUUCAACCAUCAGAUUAUGUAACUGGUGUACUUACAUACUACUCAUUUUCGAAUCCGUUAAAAGUAUUCUUCCACCAUUUUAGGUUCCAAACAUUACAGUAGCAAAAGUUUGAGAACCUGUGAUAUAUGCCACCAUGACAUGUGAUUGUAUCCACUGAACAUGCAUGAACUAUAAAUAUUUUCAAAACCAUGCUCUGAUACCAUUUUGACACGACCCGUCCCGAAUCACCCUAGUGGACUCGAAACAUGACGUGCGCCGAGGAUAGAUACUGACUAGAUGUCAAAUCUAUCACAAAUGCUGACUAUGAGUUAUUUCAAAAAAUGCAAAAUCAAAUGCUUAUGUAAAAUAUAAUGCUAUGGACCCAAAAUAUUUACUUCGUGCUUCAUCAAUAUAAAUUAUAACACUCAACAUGUCGUAUGGCUCUCAUUCUAAAAUCAUUAGGCUCUUCCAGCUAAAAAGAAUCAAUUUCCACCUGUAGAGAAAUUACAGGAAAAUAUAUGAGAUGAUAGCUCAGUGAGUAGAUAAAUUCUAAAAUAAUUAUACUUUUUCAUUUUUUUCAUUUUUAUCGAAAAUCGAGUUCAUAUCAUUGAUAACUCGCAAGAUAACAUCAUAUAAUUAUAGCCAAAAGUGAAAUUUUCACAUAAGGUCAUAAAAUAUCAUCUUAAAAUCAUGAUAUAGACAUCAAUUGAUAACCAUGCUAUAAUCUCAUCACAUCAAACGUACUGAAAAAUUCACCAAAAAUGUACCCUCUGGCUGAAAUAUAUAAUCUACUCCUCGGGCUAAGAACUUUCUCCACGGGCCUUUGACCCCUCCGUGAAUGAAUGUCGGUCUCAAAGACCUCUCAUAAUCAAGUCUAGAGUAUAGCCAAGGCCCCUCAAUGAACUAUAUGUACACGGUUGAGACCUCUUCAUCCCCAAUCCAAGACACCUCAGUCUAGUAUAGAACACGGUCAAGGCCCCUCAGUGACUAGAAGAAAUGUAUAAUCACGAGUACUUUUCUAGUCGAUCUCAAAAUCAUAUCUCAUAUUCCAAUUCACAAUGUAACGUAUACAUU